GAUGAACGCUGGCGGCGUGCCUAAUACAUGCAAGUCGAGCGAACUGAUUAGAAGCUUGCUUCUAUGACGUUAGCGGCGGACGGGUGAGUAACACGUGAGCAACCUGCCUGUAAGACUGGGAUAACUCCGGGAAACCGGAGCUAAUACCGGAUAACAUUUUCUCUUGCAUAAGAGAAAAUUGAAAGAUGGUUUCGGCUAUCACUUACAGAUGGGCCCGCGGUGCAUUAGCUAGUUGGUGAGGUAACGGCUCACCAAGGCAACGAUGCAUAGCCGACCUGAGAGGGUGAUCGGCCACACUGGGACUGAGACACGGCCCAGACUCCUACGGGAGGCAGCAGUAGGGAAUCUUCCGCAAUGGACGAAAGUCUGACGGAGCAACGCCGCGUGAGUGAUGAAGGCUUUCGGGUCGUAAAACUCUGUUGUUAGGGAAGAACAAGUACAAGAGUAACUGCUUGUACCUUGACGGUACCUAACCAGAAAGCCACGGCUAACUACGUGCCAGCAGCCGCCGUAA
This 514-nucleotide ribosomal RNA is filed under the name uncultured bacterium. Its description in RNAcentral is "partial 16S ribosomal RNA". It matches the Rfam family "Bacterial small subunit ribosomal RNA", at positions 28 to 523 of the family's 1533-position model. The record is from RNAcentral.